Wyeomyia smithii (pitcher-plant mosquito) is the source of this 194-nucleotide long non-coding RNA. RefSeq lists it as uncharacterized. The transcript is spliced from 3 exons. Lineage: Eukaryota; Metazoa; Arthropoda; Insecta; Diptera; Culicidae. The record is from RefSeq and is a predicted model, not a curated record.
UCAGCGAGUGUAAUACGGCCUUGAAGUUUGUCCAUUUUCCGGACUAUACAUCUGUAAAUUUUUGCAAGACAUUCUAAUGAAAGCAUCUUUGCGCUAGAGGCUUCUUCAAUAGAGAAGGAAAAUUUUAUAUUUGGUGAUGAAACGUUAUAAUUUAAAUUUUAAGUUUUAUAAAUAAAAGAAAGGUUACAUUGUAG